This 467-nucleotide ribosomal RNA is filed under the name Nocardia sp. 14-241. RNAcentral describes it as "bacterial SSU rRNA". It matches the Rfam family "Bacterial small subunit ribosomal RNA", at positions 30 to 514 of the family's 1533-position model. Lineage: Bacteria; Bacillati; Actinomycetota; Actinomycetes; Mycobacteriales; Nocardiaceae. The record is from RNAcentral.
CGAACGCUGGCGGCGUGCUUAACACAUGCAAGUCGAGCGGUAAGGCCCUUCGGGGUACACGAGCGGCGAACGGGUGAGUAACACGUGGGUGAUCUGCCCUGUACUUCGGGAUAAGCCUGGGAAACUGGGUCUAAUACCGGAUAUGACCUUACAUCGCAUGGUGUUUGGUGGAAAGAUUUAUCGGUACAGGAUGGGCCCGCGGCCUAUCAGCUUGUUGGUGGGGUAAUGGCCUACCAAGGCGACGACGGGUAGCCGGCCUGAGAGGGCGACCGGCCACACUGGGACUGAGACACGGCCCAGACUCCUACGGGAGGCAGCAGUGGGGAAUAUUGCACAAUGGGCGAAAGCCUGAUGCAGCGACGCCGCGUGAGGGAUGACGGCCUUCGGGUUGUAAACCUCUUUCGACAGGGACGAAGCGCAAGUGACGGUACCUGUAGAAGAAGCACCGGCCAACUACGUGCCAGCAG